Molecule: ribosomal RNA, 460 nt
Filed under: uncultured bacterium
Lineage: Bacteria
Description: partial 16S ribosomal RNA
Rfam family: Bacterial small subunit ribosomal RNA
Source: RNAcentral
CCUACGGGGGGCAGCAGUGAGGAAUAUUGGUCAAUGGACGAGAGUCUGAACCAGCCAAGUAGCGUGAAGGAUGAUUGCCCUAUGGGUUGUAAACUUCUUUUAUAUGGGAAUAAAAUGUUCCACGUGUGGGAUUUUGUAUGUACCAUAUGAAUAAGGAUCGGCUAACUCCGUGCCAGCAGCCGCGGUAAUACGGAGGAUCCGAGCGUUAUCCGGAUUUAUUGGGUUUAAAGGGAGCGUAGGUGGAUUGUUAAGUCAGUUGUGAAAGUUUGCGGCUCAACCGUAAAAUUGCAGUUGAAACUGGCAGUCUUGAGUACAGUAGAGGUGGGCGGAAUUCGUGGUGUAGCGGUGAAAUGCUUAGAUAUCACGAAGAACUCCGAUUGCGAAGGCAGUUCACUGGACUGCAACUGACACUGAGGCUCGAAAGUGUGGGUAUCAAACAGGAUUAGAUACCCUUGUAGUC